UGAGGAAUGGCUCAGUUGGUAGAGCGUGAGACUCAAUCUCAGGCUUGUGGGUUUGAACCCCAUGCUGGGUGAAAGAUUCCUCCA
Non-coding RNA from Podarcis lilfordi (Lilford's wall lizard), 84 nucleotides. NCBI's taxonomy places the organism in Eukaryota, Metazoa, Chordata, Lepidosauria, Squamata, Lacertidae. The record is from the annotation of a GenBank genome assembly.